GACGAACGCUGGCGGCGUGCUUAACACAUGCAAGUCGAACGGAAAGGCCCUGCUAUUGUGGGGUGCUCGAGUGGCGAACGAGUGAGUCACACGUGCGUAACCUGCCCUUGACUACGGCAUCACUUCAGGACACUUGGGACCAUAUCGGAUAGGAGCUCCUGCUGCAUGGUGGGGGUUGGAAAGUUUCGGCGGUUGGGGAUGAACUGGCGGCUUAUCAGCUUGUCGGUGGGGUAGUGACUUACCAAGGCUUUGACGAGUAGCCGGCCUGAGAGGGUGACCGGCCACAUUGGGACGGAGAAGCGGCCCAGACUACUACGAGGGGCAGCAGUGGGGAAUAAUGCACAAUGGGCGGAGACCUGAUGCAGCAACGCCGCGUGCGGGAUGACGGCCUUCGGGUUGUAGACCGCUUUCGCCUGUGACGAAGCGGGAGUGACGGUAAUGGGUAAAGAAGCACCGGCUAACUACGUG
This 468-nucleotide ribosomal RNA is filed under the name uncultured bacterium. RNAcentral describes it as "partial 16S ribosomal RNA". It matches the Rfam family "Bacterial small subunit ribosomal RNA", at positions 28 to 507 of the family's 1533-position model. The record is from RNAcentral.